CCUUCUGAUUGGCUGUUAUGGGUUACUGCUUCUGAGUAAAAUUACUGUCUUUUAUUAUAUAACCCUGUUUGGGGCAUCCACAGGGUGCGGAUCCUACACUAGAGUUCUUCACAUUUGUACAUAAACAUACAGAAUAUAAAACUUUGGGUCAGGCUUCUCCAUGUUCUUACAACUUACCAUAUUAUUAACAGGACCCACAGGAGUAACUACGAAGGAAGCAGACCCUGCAACUACAAGGGGGCCCAGGAGGUAUAGGGGCCCCAUAAGGCUCUAAUAAUUAUACAUUUUUAUUAAUAAUAAAACAGGUCAACCUCUAGACAUUCUGGGGGUCUAAAAAUUAAUUUGUUGUGGGGCCCAGAAAUAUCUAGUUACACAAAUGACAGGGCCCCAAUUAUUAUCCCUUUGGGCAAGCCUAUUAAAAGAUCCAAAUGCCUCCAGCCCAGCCUGACAAACACAACUGGCAUUCUGCUCAUGGGCAAGGCUGUGUUUAGGUCCAUAGCUAGACUAGGCACCGGCCUAAAUGUGCCCCCUAGUGGACGGAAGUGAUGUAACGCGUGUGCGUGACGUCAGCACCAGAUGUAACAAAACUUUGUGCCCCUAGGCACCCCUGGCUGCUUGCACCCUACCUGCCCCCCAAUCCCACACUUACACCCUGACUGCUUGCACCACCCUCCAAUCACUGCAUAAUGUCACAUAUUCCCUGCCAACGCUCCUGCCACAUGUUUCUAUGUGUUCUUCACUGGUGACUGGGAGUGGUGGGCGAUAUUGGGCUAAAUUGAUCCUUAGGGCAUAAGGGCCUAUAGACCAAGGACCACAUGAACGAGCCUAUGCAGUCCUUAAUGCAAUGGAAAAUCAAACCUGCCUGAUCGAGAUCUGGGCAAUUUUAGGUCAGAUAUUGGUUAGGCCUGUCGGGGGUGCCGAUAAAUGGGCAGAUAAGUUGCCGAAUUGAUCUGAAGGAUCCGAAUUGGCAGCUAAUCUGCCGGUGUAUGGCCAUCUAGGUGCUACUAAGCAGACAGUAUCACACAUGCUACUUUUUGCAUGAUAUCCUUAUCCUACUAUGAUUUGCUUUUUACUACCUAUUGAUAAGCUGUCGAGCAGUAACUUUUUAAAUAUGUUAUUAUAGGAUUUUAGAACAGUGAUCUUCCCAUUUUAGCUCAGAAUGUUGGUUAAUUUAUUGGGGGGUCACUCAACAGCUGAAGAUCUUCAUUUUUCCUGAAAAUCUCAUUUUACAUUGUAUUUAUUACAGGCAUAGCAAGUUCUGAAAGAUAAGAUGGCUGCGUGCAAGCCUGAUGUCAGCAAUGGAAAUCUGCUGAGGAAGAUAAAGGGAACAUGGCUCAGCACAAGCUUUAUCUGAGGACUUCGUCAUUCUUGUUUGGGAGGAUCGCUGCCUGCAAGGACAGUACAAAAAACAAUACAUUGGCCAGAUGAAUUGUGGGUUCUGGCAAAUGCCAGAGGGGCUGCUGUAAGAUGCCAUAGACAGUCACUAUUUAUUGGGCUGGUGGGGGGGCUGUUUGGGCCUCUGUGUAAUUGAAAUACCAGGGCCUAUUUUGAAUACCAGUCUGGACCUGCACUAGUGCUUCUGCCAAUACAAGUAGCAUAAAAAAACGGUAUCAGCAUCUGAUUCAGUUACGACUAUGGGCACAAGCCAUUAAAGCUUACCAUGGAGCAGGGCUUUCUAAAUAGAAAGGGGCGUAAUCCGUAGUGUUCAAGAUUGGCUUUACAACAAACUUUGGUCAGGUACAAAACCAGAUCCCAACUGGCAUAAUGGUAUGAGAAUGCUGAGAGUCUAUGCAAGUAGCCUUAUCCAUACAGUGGUUCUUAUAGGGAAGCAUCCCCAGGUUACCCAAACCCAUAGGAGCUAAGCAGAGCCCAUGUGAGGGGCAGAGGAUGAAGAAAGCAGAGUGAGAGCCUGGGGGACCCUGGUUUUGGGGGAGAGAUAGACAGUACAGCCCAUUUGUUUAUAGUUAACAUGUGCCCCCUUCCAGGGGCUCUUUAGCUGGGAGAGGUGUAUAUCUUCUUGCAUUUGGAGGAAGACUAGAACUAAAUCAUUUUCAUUCUAUGUCCAAGGGCUAGUAGGCAUCAUACACAGCAGUCAUUCAACAUGUUCCUUUCAUAAAUAUAUUUAACAAUUUCUCUUAGUAUUAUUAUUGUAUAAACAUCAGUAUCCUAAUGUGCUUUGCAAUACAUUUUAUUUGUUUUUAUUGUCACAUUUUUUCCUUUUUUAACUCACAGGUGUGGAAUUUGAACGGCUCUCUGGCUUAAUUAACCUAGCAGCCAUACAGCUAUUAGAAAGUAUAGGAGAGAGGGCCAGACAAAAUAAGAACAACAAUAAGGUUAAAGCCUUACCUUUUAUCGUUAUUUUGGCUUUUGGGAUCAGCGACCCCCUCAGUCACCUCCAUAUGUUUUCAGUUCCAGGUUUGAAAGAAGCAGAAUAAGAAGGCUAAUACAUCAAAACCCAUAAACGAUACAAAAUGAAGAGAAAUCCCUGAUCUGUGGAGAGACCAACAACCCCUGUCUCUGGAGAAAGAGUUUUAGAGGACUACUUCUUUCUGAUUUUUGGGAGCUACAGGGACUGCUACAUUGGGAGAGAACCCAUUGUUAACCUUUAUAGAGGUCACAGGGCCCACAAAAUGGAUUUCUGAUGGUGAAUCAAAGGACAUGACGCUGCAGAAAUGUUAUAUACCUGGCUAUAAAUGGGUAGCAUUUCCUCUUAUAUUCCCAGACAGGAAAUGCCCCAAAACACUGGCACAAUCAGAUUCUUCUUAUUUAGAUUUGUCAGCAUCUUGUGCUUCAUUACAUCUUGUGGUUAU
Xenopus tropicalis (tropical clawed frog) is the source of this 2810-nucleotide long non-coding RNA. RefSeq lists it as uncharacterized. The record is from RefSeq and is a predicted model, not a curated record. The transcript is spliced from 3 exons. NCBI's taxonomy places the organism in Eukaryota, Metazoa, Chordata, Amphibia, Anura, Pipidae.